This 253-nucleotide ribosomal RNA is filed under the name uncultured bacterium. RNAcentral describes it as "partial 16S ribosomal RNA". It matches the Rfam family "Bacterial small subunit ribosomal RNA", at positions 524 to 776 of the family's 1533-position model. The record is from RNAcentral.
UACAGAGGGUGCAAGCGUUGUUCGGAAUUAUUGGGCGUAAAGCGCGUGCAGGCGGCUUUGCAAGUCGGGUGUGAAAGCCCUCAGCUUAACUGAGGAAGUGCGCCCGAAACUGCAUGGCUUGAGUACCGGAGAGGAUGGCGGAAUUCCCCAAGUAGAGGUGAAAUUCGUAGAUAUGGGGAGGAACACCGGUGGCGAAGGCGGCCAUCUGGACGGAUACUGACGCUGAGACGCGAAAGCGUGGGUAGCAAACAGG